CCUUCGGGGGACAAGUAGAGUGGCGCACGGGUGAGUAACACGUAGGUAAUCUACCUUUGGAUUGGGAAUAACAACCGGAAACGGUUGCUAAUACCGAAUAAUGCAGCGGCACCUAAUGGUGACAGUUGUUAAAGCGGGGGAUCGCAAGACCUCGCGUCUGAAGAGGAGCCUGCGGCGGAUUAGCUAGUUGGUAAGGUAACGGCUUACCAAGGCGAUGAUCCGUAGCCGGCCUGAGAGGGCGGUCGGCCACACUGACACUGACAUACGGGUCAGACUCCUACGGGAGGCAGCAGUCGGGAAUUUUGGGCAAUGGGCGAAAGCCUGACCCAGCAACGCCGCGUGAAGGAUGAAAUCCCUCGGGAUGUAAACUUCGCAAGAACGGGAAGAAUAAGUAGGGGACAAUACCCCCUAUGAUGACGGUACUGUUUGUAAGCUCCGGCUAACUCCGUGCCAGCAGCCGCGGUAAUACGGGGGGAGCAAGCGUUGUUCGGAUUUACUGGGCGUAAAGGGCGCGUAGGCGGCCACCGCAAGUCGACUGUGAAAUCUCCGGGCUUAACUCGGAAAGGUCAGCCGAUACUGCGGGGCUAGAGUGCAGAAGGGGCAACUGGAAUUCUCGGUGUAGCGGUGAAAUGCGUAGAUAUCGAGAGGAACACCUGCGGCGAAGGCGGGUUGCUGGGCUGACACUGACGCUGAAGUGCGAAAGCUAGGGGAGCGAACGGGAUUAGAUACCCCGGUAGUCCUAGCCUUAAACGAUGAAUGC
This 760-nucleotide ribosomal RNA is filed under the name uncultured Actinomycetes bacterium. RNAcentral describes it as "bacterial SSU rRNA". It matches the Rfam family "Bacterial small subunit ribosomal RNA", at positions 76 to 816 of the family's 1533-position model. Lineage: Bacteria; Bacillati; Actinomycetota; Actinomycetes. The record is from RNAcentral.